This 385-nucleotide long non-coding RNA is filed under the name Malus domestica (apple). RNAcentral's name for it is "long non-coding RNA (MDOM_LNC014548)". The record is from RNAcentral. Lineage: Eukaryota; Viridiplantae; Streptophyta; Magnoliopsida; Rosales; Rosaceae.
UUGUUGAUAUGUUUUACUCCUUCCUAAUGCUAAAACAUAUUGAGUAUAAUAGCACAAGUAAGGUGUCGAAUCCACAGGGACUAAUUGGACCUAUACAAUCACUUGCUUUGCAAGAACCAUAUUAAAUGACUUAAACUAAGCAACUUAGACAGAUUUGUUGUUGUGUAACUUGAAAACUCACAAAAAUGUAGUGAACACAAGUGAAUGAAUCAACAAGUAAUAAAAUGGAAUAACACCAAUGGAGAUGAAACUAGGGAUUCGGUUUCACCAUAGCUAAAUCAAUCCCAUGUUUGUUAAAUCAGUUUAUGCUCAUUCAUUUACCUAUUUCUUGAGUUUGUUUCACUUAGAUAUGAUCAACCAUAUGAUGUGUGGAUUUGAUCAAAUC